UACGGAGGAUGCGAGCGUUAUCCGGAUUUACUGGGUGUAAAGGGAGCGUAGACGGUGAUGCAAGUCAGAAGUGAAAGCCCGGGGCUCAACUCCGGGACUGCAUUGGAAACUGGCAUGCUGGAGUGCCGGAGGGGCAAGCGGAAUUCCUAGUGUAGCGGUGAAAUGCGUAGAUAUUAGGAAGAACACCAGUGGCGAAGGCGGCUUGCUGGACAGUAACUGACGUUGAGGCUCGAAAGCGUGGGGAGCAAACAGG
RNAcentral lists this ribosomal RNA (253 nucleotides) under uncultured Eubacteriales bacterium. Its description in RNAcentral is "uncultured Clostridiales bacterium partial 16S ribosomal RNA". It matches the Rfam family "Bacterial small subunit ribosomal RNA", at positions 524 to 776 of the family's 1533-position model. Lineage: Bacteria; Bacillati; Bacillota; Clostridia; Eubacteriales. The record is from RNAcentral.